UACGUAGGGUGCGAGCGUUAAUCGGAAUUACUGGGCGUAAAGCGUGCGCAGGCGGUUAUAUAAGACAGAUGUGAAAUCCCCGGGCUCAACCUGGGACCUGCAUUUGUGACUGUAUAGCUAGAGUACGGUAGAGGGGGAUGGAAUUCCGCGUGUAGCAGUGAAAUGCGUAGAUAUGCGGAGGAACACCGAUGGCGAAGGCAAUCCCCUGGACCUGUACUGACGCUCAUGCACGAAAGCUAGGGGAGCGAAUGGG
Molecule: ribosomal RNA, 253 nt
Filed under: uncultured bacterium
Lineage: Bacteria
Description: partial 16S ribosomal RNA
Rfam family: Bacterial small subunit ribosomal RNA
Source: RNAcentral